This 91-nucleotide non-coding RNA is filed under the name bovine gut metagenome. Its description in RNAcentral is "TPP riboswitch (THI element)". It matches the Rfam family "TPP riboswitch aptamer (THI element)", at positions 10 to 89 of the family's 105-position model. Rfam says of the family: Vitamin B(1) in its active form thiamin pyrophosphate (TPP) is an essential coenzyme that is synthesised by coupling of pyrimidine and thiazole moieties in bacteria. The previously detected thiamin-regulatory element, thi box was extended, resulting in a new, highly conserved RNA secondary structure, the THI element, which is widely distributed in eubacteria and also occurs in some archaea. Analysis of operon structures identified a large number of new candidate thiamin-regulated genes, mostly transporters, in various prokaryotic organisms. The record is from RNAcentral.
AAACGGGGAGCUUGUGUUACAGGCUGAGAACAGAAUACGAUUCUGGACCCUUUAACCUGAUUUGGAUAAUGCCAACGGAGGGAUAUAUAGU